This 453-nucleotide long non-coding RNA is filed under the name Prunus persica (peach). RNAcentral's name for it is "long non-coding RNA (PPER_LNC002684)". The record is from RNAcentral. Lineage: Eukaryota; Viridiplantae; Streptophyta; Magnoliopsida; Rosales; Rosaceae.
GAAAGAGCAUUUUCAGCCAUGAAACAUGUUAAGACUAUACUUCGCAACAAGAUGGAGGAUGAAUACCUUGCAAAUUCUCUUAUUGUCUACAUUGAGAAAGAACAUGUUGUGAAUAUUGAUUCAGAUUCAAUAAUCAAAGACUUUGAUUCACUCAAGGAGCGAAGGGUUCCACUUCACUAGGUAAGCUAGUUUUAUUUCCUUUGCAAUGCAAUAUUUGUUUGAUAUUUAACAAUAUGUGUUUAAUUUGAUGUUUAUUUAUAUAUUGACAAUAUGUGGAGAGAAAAAAAAAUAUUAGCCCACCCUUAGAAAAAUUCCUGGAUCCGUCCUUGCAUGUCAAAGGCCUUUUUUUGCAAUUUAUUUUGUUUUUUUUAUACAAUUGCAUUUUCCUUACAUCCGUCCACGCAUGUGCCAACUUGUUUCUUUUUUCUUUUUUAUUUUAUUUUUAGAAUUAAG